CCUACGGGUGGCAGCAGUGGGGAAUAUUGGGCAAUGGGCGCAAGCCUGACCCAGCAACGCCGCGUGAAGGAAGAAGGCUUUCGGGUUGUAAACUUCUUUUGUCAGGGAAGAGUAGAAGACGGUACCUGACGAAUAAGCCACGGCUAACUACGUGCCAGCAGCCGCGGUAAUACGUAGGUGGCAAGCGUUGUCCGGAUUUACUGGGUGUAAAGGGCGUGUAGCCGGGUUGACAAGUCAGAUGUGAAAUCCUGCGGCUUAACCGCAGAACUGCAUUUGAAACUGUUGAUCUUGAGUACUGGAGAGGCAGACGGAAUUCCUAGUGUAGCGGUGAAAUGCGUAGAUAUUAGGAGGAACACCAGUGGCGAAGGCGGUCUGCUGGACAUUAACUGACGCUGAGGCACGAAGGCCAGGGGAGCGAAAGGGAUUAGAUACCCUAGUAGUC
This 442-nucleotide ribosomal RNA is filed under the name uncultured bacterium. RNAcentral's name for it is "partial 16S ribosomal RNA". It matches the Rfam family "Bacterial small subunit ribosomal RNA", at positions 338 to 795 of the family's 1533-position model. The record is from RNAcentral.